CCAAUAGCGUAUAUUAAAGUUGUUGCAGUUAAAAAGCUCGUAGUUGAAUUUCGGGGUUCUACCGUUGGUCGGGCAAUAGUCUGUACUGGCGUGUGGAAUUUCUACCUUCUGGGGAACCAUCAUGUUAUUAAUUUAGCGUGGUGGGAAACCAGGACCUUUACCUUGAAAAAAUUAGAGUGUUCAAAGCAGGCUUACGUCUGAAUACAUUAGCAUGGAAUAAUAAAAUAGGACGGUGGUCCCGUUUUGUUGGUUUCUGAAUCACCGUAAUGAUUAAUAGGGAUAGUUGGGGGCAUUAGUAUUCAAUUGUCAGAGGUGAAAUUCUUGGAUUUAUUGAAGACUAACUUCUGCGAAAGCAUUUGCCAAGGAUGUUUUCAUUAAUCAAGAACGAAAGUUAGGGGAUCGAAGACGAUCAGAUACCGUCGUAGUCUUAACCAUAAACUAUGCCGACUAGGGAUCGGACGAUGUUAAUUUUUCUUGACUCGUUCGGCGCCUUACG
Molecule: ribosomal RNA, 496 nt
Filed under: uncultured Glomeromycotina
Lineage: Eukaryota; Fungi; Glomeromycota
Description: partial small subunit ribosomal RNA
Rfam family: Eukaryotic small subunit ribosomal RNA
Source: RNAcentral